GUCUGUUACAGUUACACCUCUAGGUUAGUGUCUGCACGUUCUUUUGGCGCUUGCACCUGAGCAUAGGAGGCUGCGUUAUCCGCUUGAGAGUAAAAGAGAGCUGUGCCUGAAUCCACUGUUGUCACGGAGCUAAAGGCAGUGAAUUCUGCUAAAAUGGUCAGGUUUUGGUAAAGAGUUGGAAACAUCGUGCGGAGAUCCUUUCCACGGAAUGAUACAGAUCCCCACAUUCCAGGCGUUCUCCCAGAGAUUCAUAGAUUCCCAGUCCGGGGGGCUGGGUGGCGAGCCAACCGUGUUUGUGACUCUGACUUUAGACGGAUUGCCAGGAUCUUCAUCUUCAGGGUGGUAGGACAAACACUAACACGAACUCAAAAGGGCCCAACGUUGGUGACUGAACUCUUGUCAACAAAGGCAAGUGAAACUGAGGACGAACUAAGCUCAAGGGAAUUUAAAAGGGGAUUUAUUUACGUGCGCACUUUAUUAUUUUAGUUUGUUAUUUUUUUCAUAACUGUUUUUUUGUAUAUGUAUGUACCAGCCCAUGUGUGUUUAAUACAUUUUAUGCAAAUUGUCA
Ictalurus punctatus (channel catfish) is the source of this 568-nucleotide long non-coding RNA. RefSeq lists it as uncharacterized. NCBI's taxonomy places the organism in Eukaryota, Metazoa, Chordata, Actinopteri, Siluriformes, Ictaluridae. The record is from RefSeq and is a predicted model, not a curated record. The transcript has 3 exons.